CCUACGGGGGGCAGCAGUGGGGAAUAUUGGACAAUGGGCGAAAGCCUGAUCCAGCCAUGCCGCGUGUGUGAAGAAGGCCUUUUGGUUGUAAAGCACUUUAAGCGAGGAGGAGGCUACUUAGAUUAAUACUCUAGGAUAGUGGACGUUACUCGCAGAAUAAGCACCGGCUAACUCUGUGCCAGCAGCCGCGGUAAUACAGAGGGUGCGAGCGUUAAUCGGAUUUACUGGGCGUAAAGCGUGCGUAGGCGGCUUCUUAAGUCGGAUGUGAAAUCCCUGAGCUUAACUUAGGAAUUGCAUUCGAUACUGGGAAGCUAGAGUAUGGGAGAGGAUGGUAGAAUUCCAGGUGUAGCGGUGAAAUGCGUAGAGAUCUGGAGGAAUACCGAUGGCGAAGGCAGCCAUCUGGCCUAAUACUGACGCUGAGGUACGAAAGCAUGGGGAGCAAACAGGAUUAGAUACCCCCGUAGUC
Molecule: ribosomal RNA, 466 nt
Filed under: uncultured bacterium
Lineage: Bacteria
Description: bacterial SSU rRNA
Rfam family: Bacterial small subunit ribosomal RNA
Source: RNAcentral